RNAcentral lists this ribosomal RNA (521 nucleotides) under uncultured Bacillota bacterium. Its description in RNAcentral is "bacterial SSU rRNA". It matches the Rfam family "Bacterial small subunit ribosomal RNA", at positions 24 to 547 of the family's 1533-position model. The record is from RNAcentral. Lineage: Bacteria; Bacillati; Bacillota.
UCAGGAUGAACGCUGGCGGCGUGCUUAACACAUGCAAGUCGAGCGAAGCGGCUGAAUUGAUUCUUCGGAUGAUUUUCAGUUGACUGAGCGGCGGACGGGUGAGUAACGCGUGGGUGACCUGCCCCAUACCGGGGGAUAACAGCUGGAAACGGCUGCUAAUACCGCAUAAGCGCACAGAGCUGCAUGGCUCUGUGUGAAAAACUCCGGUGGUAUGGGAUGGGCCCGCGUCUGAUUAGGCAGUUGGCGGGGUAACGGCCCACCAAACCGACGAUCAGUAGCCGGCCUGAGAGGGCGACCGGCCACAUUGGGACUGAGACACGGCCCAAACUCCUACGGGAGGCAGCAGUGGGGAAUAUUGCACAAUGGGGGAAACCCUGAUGCAGCGACGCCGCGUGAGCGAAGAAGUAUUUCGGUAUGUAAAGCUCUAUCAGCAGGGAAGAUAAUGACGGUACCUGACUAAGAAGCCCCGGCUAACUACGUGCCAGCAGCCGCGGUAAUACGUAGGGGGCAAGCGUUAUCCG